RNAcentral lists this long non-coding RNA (633 nucleotides) under Triticum aestivum (bread wheat). Its description in RNAcentral is "long non-coding RNA (TAES_LNC012652)". Lineage: Eukaryota; Viridiplantae; Streptophyta; Magnoliopsida; Poales; Poaceae. The record is from RNAcentral.
AUUAAUACAAAAAAACAAAAACAUUUUUCAAGCAUACAAAUUUUUAUAUCUACUUCAUAAUUUCAGAUAAUUCAAGAAGCAAGACGAAAUUCAUGACUCUUCAUAUGGCUUAUGAGUGUACAAACUUUAUACUACACCAUUUGUGAUUUCGUCACAUUAUUUACUUAACACACUAUCCUACAUUAGUUAAUUGGUACCCAUUUGUUCAUUAUCAUGGAUGGUUGGAGCCGGAUCUAUGCAUAAUGUGCACCGGCACCCCUCAAGAACACACAUGCUAGAUUUGGUUUGCCUUGUACGUUUCACACAUUGUCUUUCGCAAGUUUUGCUAUCACAUGGCUUUGUCGAUGGGAGAAUUUUUUGCACACAUGUGUAGAGUUUCAUGCUAUCAUCCAUUGAUGCCUCAACUACCACAUCUGCAAAAUUUCACGAUUAAGAAAACGGACGGUCACAAGAAGACCAUUAUUUGUUGGGGGAGAUUCUGAACAAAUGCAUUACACGAACAAAUGAGUACCUGAUGCUAGCACAAGAAAGACUAGGGACAGAAGCAACAUCUGGGUAGUCCUCAUUUUAACUAGUGUUUGUGCUAAAGGAGCGAGUUGCAGAUCGUUGUGUGAUAUGUAAGUUCUAAGAAAU